RNAcentral lists this long non-coding RNA (208 nucleotides) under Musa acuminata (dwarf banana). RNAcentral's name for it is "long non-coding RNA (MACU_LNC008283)". Lineage: Eukaryota; Viridiplantae; Streptophyta; Magnoliopsida; Zingiberales; Musaceae. The record is from RNAcentral.
GAAGAUUGGACAUCGAGUUAGAGGAUCGGUCAACGUGUCGGUAGAAGGCUCGUGCCGCGAAUUCAAGCAUCGGGCUGAAGGAUCAGACAUUAUGCUAAGGAGAUCGAAAGUUACAGGAGUUAACAUGCCGAUUAGGCAAUACACCAAAGCAGAGGAUGAUGCACCGAAAGAUCGAAUGAGCACCAGAUGAACCGAUGAUAUGCCGGAC